GAGUUUGAUCAUGGCUCAGAUUGAACGCUGGCGGCAGGCCUAACACAUGCAAGUCGAGCGGUAGAGAGAAGCUUGCUUCUCUUGAGAGCGGCGGACGGGUGAGUAAUGCCUAGGAAUCUGCCUGGUAGUGGGGGAUAACGCUCGGAAACGGACGCUAAUACCGCAUACGUCCUACGGGAGAAAGCAGGGGACCUUCGGGCCUUGCGCUAUCAGAUGAGCCUAGGUCGGAUUAGCUAGUUGGUGAGGUAAUGGCUCACCAAGGCGACGAUCCGUAACUGGUCUGAGAGGAUGAUCAGUCACACUGGAACUGAGACACGGUCCAGACUCCUACGGGAGGCAGCAGUGGGGACAUAGU
RNAcentral lists this ribosomal RNA (355 nucleotides) under uncultured bacterium. RNAcentral describes it as "bacterial SSU rRNA". It matches the Rfam family "Bacterial small subunit ribosomal RNA", at positions 9 to 365 of the family's 1533-position model. The record is from RNAcentral.